Molecule: long non-coding RNA, 744 nt
Organism: Cyprinus carpio (common carp)
Lineage: Eukaryota; Metazoa; Chordata; Actinopteri; Cypriniformes; Cyprinidae
Source: Ensembl
AUGUAUGUAGCCCAGCCUGUCCUGUAUUGGAUCAUAAUUCUGUGCUUUAGGCAGGAAACUCAAGCCAAACCUACGAUCUCUAUGGUGAACAGAAUCAGAGUGGCACUAGCAGGAGAAACUCUUCAUUUCGACCUGUCCGUGUGCAUCCCAGCAAACACCACUAAUAAACUUAAAUUGUACCAUACUCAGAGCAGCAGGACAAUUUGGAGUCGAGAACUUAAAAGUGAAUUUUUUGAAACUACAAAGUUGGAGACGGCACGUAUCAAAAUGCACAAUAGCUCCAGUUCUGGCAAUUACUACUUUUCUUAUACAGAUCAGAAAGUGUAUUUGGUGAUUCAUGUUAGAGACAAAGGUUAUCAGCAGCCACCUGAGGAGUUAGGCAGUGCCAUCAUCACAAUGAUGGCAUUCUCAGGAAUUCUGCUCAUCUUCAGUGUUGCUGGUUCACUUCUCAUAUUAAAAAGCUACAAGGAACACCCUGCUUGUAGAGAUGACAAAAAUGAGCAGAGGCCAGGAGGGAGUGAUGAAGUGAUACUGGAUAAGGAUGCUGCAUCUGCACCACUCUACACAGCACUACUAUACAGAUCAAGCUCCAUUUAUGAUACAACGCAUCCAGACGUGAUGCAUGAAGAAAACACAAAGAAGAAAACAUCUGAUAAAAAGGUUUGUUUUAUAAAUGGUGUAAUAUUAUAUGACAUUAUAGCCUAUAAUGUAGACCUACAUAGCUUUAAGGUAUUGAAUAUAUAA